GUUCCUGACAAAAAGGAUUAUUCAUAUAAGUUGGGAUAGUUACAGUAAAACAAAGAAAACCUAAUGCUGGAUUGCAAUGGACAUUUAAUACCGUUAUGAGAGAUACAUGUAACCUCCAUUUCUUUUUUGUAAAAGGGCUCUCCCUGAGUAGUGCAACAUUGUUUGAUUACUGCAUCUCAGCUUUUAUUUUGUCUCAAUUGUCUAUGUUUGCAUAGAGUGCUUGCCUUUUAUGAUCCUGAGCUUAAUUGUCCAUGCAAAGACACAUUUUUAAGUUUUAUACUAUGCUGUGCUCUUAGCUGUGAUGGUAAAACUGUCCUAGAACAAGAGGUGAAUUUUACUGAUGGAGCCUUUCUAAUCUAAUACAGAGGUCUUCCUAGGCUGCUGACCUAUACUGCAGUGUGAGAGUUGCAGUUUUGUUGGUACUUUUAAGUACGAAGAAACUUGUUUCAAGAGGUUAAGAGGACAACUAAAAAAGGAUGAACCUAAGACAAAGAGCAAUGUAGGCUGCUUUAAUACAAGUAAGGGUCUUGCUGAACAUAAUGAAUGUCAGGGGUUCCUAACUCUGCAAAUGAAUGCUCCACCACUGUAGAUGUUUGAGUGCAAUAGGCUUUGCCUACCACUACUAAUGCUAUUUUCCUGUUGGAUGUGGCACAUUUACCUCAUCACUUGGGUGACUGGGGGAGGAUAGUGAUAGAAAUUACCUCAUCGUUCUUGAAGGAGUUGAGAGGCUUCUUGAUCAGACACCUGAAGGACAAGUUAUGAGGAGCUGCUGAUGGAGGAUCUAAAAAAAUGACAGCAAAACACUUACAGAGUAGAACUGGUCAUUUUCCUUCCACAAUACCUUUGCCUCCACUGCAACAUACCUGAGCCAUCAAUCCGUUCGUUCAUUUGUUUGAUGAAGAGUUCUGUUCUUGUUUUUCAGCAGUCCACAGUGAUCCACAUAGUUUAACUGCAAAAUCUGACACUUUUUUUUAAAAAAAUUUUUAAUUCUCUGUACAGUAUACUUGAUAAAUUCUUUAUCAUUAAAACUAAUGUGGAAAAGUUUUGCAUUCCAGUAA
Harpia harpyja (harpy eagle) is the source of this 1058-nucleotide long non-coding RNA. RefSeq lists it as uncharacterized. The transcript is spliced from 2 exons. Lineage: Eukaryota; Metazoa; Chordata; Aves; Accipitriformes; Accipitridae. The record is from RefSeq and is a predicted model, not a curated record.